Molecule: non-coding RNA, 1132 nt
Organism: Triticum urartu
Lineage: Eukaryota; Viridiplantae; Streptophyta; Magnoliopsida; Poales; Poaceae
Source: RefSeq, a predicted model, not a curated record
UGCUUGAGUUAUGCCUGUAAACACUGUUGUUCUCGCAUGAAACAUCGAACCCUUCGCGGAAGCAACCUUCACCGAUGCCGAAGGGGUAUGGGAUGGUGUGGUUGCCACAUGUUUCUCGGCACCCAGGCUUCGCCAUCCUGGACGCUGUGCUGCUCUUGAUGCUUGCUAGCAUCAGGGUGGCUGCAAAGAUUAGGCAUGGUGAUUUGAGCCAGGAAGUGACCCAGGGUCACUCAAGGCCGCAGCACAUCAAGUGAAAGGAAGGUUCCUUGAUGAGGUCAGGGUGGCCUUUAAAUCCGUGCCUGGGUCAAGUCAUUAAAGAGAAUCUUUCAAAAGGGACAAGGAGAUAAGCACUUCCUGCUCGAUGAAAGCGAAGGUGAACUCGUUCGCAUCACUGGUAAAGGGGGUAAGCUUGCUCUGUGAAUUACCUUGGACUAGUUCUGCUGUCCUGAUCGACUCCACCGCGAGAACAGAUUUGCGCCACAGGUGCUUCGUAUUGAUCUCAACCUCUCAGCGACAUCUCUCAUUAAUGGCCGUUCUUCCCCCCUCAUACUCAAGCAACACUUUGCCAGUUGAGCAAUUUCUUGGAGCAGCUCCGCUUCGAAGUCUAAUAUAUUCUUGUCCAAGAUGAAUUGAAGUCCAUUUUCUUUCAUUGCCAGAAGGAAGGAUGAUGCAAGGAGUGCAAAAAUGCAGAUAAGGAGAAGUACAGCACAUGCUGAAAUACCUGCCAAGAAUAACAUUCUUUCAGUUACUUGAAGUCUUGUAGGUUUCUCUCUUUGGAUCUAUGCUGGUAGUCCCAGAGUUGCAUGAGCAACUGUAGUCCCCAAUUGCGUUGCUGCAGAUUCCAAGGCAAGGAUACUGAUCUGGAAAACUGCACUCAUUGAUGUCUGCAAAGGGAUAGAUAAAUAACUGAAGAUCAGUGUACAGAUAACUUAAGGCGAAGUUAAAAGAAGUGAGUUACAGUGAGUUAUCGACCUUGGCAUCCUCCUUCCAGGCGUAAGAUGACAUGUUGUUCCCUGCUUCAUCACAGUUUUCAUGUCCAGCAACCCAGUCAAGCACAGUAGGUACCCCGUUGUUGAACUUCUCUGUGAAUUUAUUAUCUUCGAGAUAGGAAGCCUCGAACCUGAACCAAUCC